CCACCAGGACCACAUCAUAAACCUUUUUUUAUGCAGUUGCAAUCAGCGUCAGUAUAACAAAUGUAAAUCAUUUACAACUUUCAACAACGGAUCUCUUGGUUCUGGCAUCGAUGAAGAACGCAGCGAAAUGCGAUACGUAGUGUGAAUUGCAGAAUUCAGUGAAUCAUCGAAUCUUUGAACGCACAUUGCGCCCUUUGGUAUUCCAAAGGGCAUGCCUGUUCGAGCGUCAUUUGUACCCUCAAGCUUUGCUUGGUGUUGGGCGUUUUUUUUUGUCUUUGGUUGCCAAAGACUCGCCUUAAAAGGAUUGGCAGCCGGCCUACUGGUUUCGCAGCGCAGCACAUUUUUGCGCUUGCAAUCAGCAAAAGAGGACGGCAAUCCAUCAAGACUCCUUCUCACGUUUGACCUCGGAUCAGGUAGGGA
This 420-nucleotide ribosomal RNA is filed under the name Curvularia lunata. RNAcentral describes it as "eukaryotic LSU rRNA". The stretch from base 76 to 229 matches the Rfam family "5.8S ribosomal RNA". Lineage: Eukaryota; Fungi; Ascomycota; Dothideomycetes; Pleosporales; Pleosporaceae. The record is from RNAcentral.